GAUUUGAUAAGCUAAAUUUUAAGCUAGUGGGUUCAUACCCCAAUCAUGAGAAACUUCUCUCAAAUCA
Molecule: transfer RNA, 67 nt
Filed under: Arctonoe vittata
Lineage: Eukaryota; Metazoa; Annelida; Polychaeta; Phyllodocida; Polynoidae
Description: tRNA-Met
Source: RNAcentral